UACGUAGGUGGCAAGCGUUGUCCGGAUUUAUUGGGUUUAAAGGGCAUGCAGGCGGUCCGACACGUUUUGUGUGACAGCGGGUGGCUUAACUACCCGAGGAUACGAAAGACGGUUGGACUUGAGGACUCGAGAGGGACACGGAAUUCCGGGUGGAGUGGUGAAAUGCGUAGAGAUCCGGAGGAACACCGAAGGCGAAGGCAGUGUCCUGGCGAGUGACUGACGCUGAGGUGCGAAAGCCAGGGGAGCGAACGGG
RNAcentral lists this ribosomal RNA (253 nucleotides) under uncultured bacterium. Its description in RNAcentral is "partial 16S ribosomal RNA". It matches the Rfam family "Bacterial small subunit ribosomal RNA", at positions 524 to 776 of the family's 1533-position model. The record is from RNAcentral.